UACGUAGGUGGCAAGCGUUGUCCGGAAUUAUUGGGCGUAAAGCGCGCGCAGGUGGUUUAAUAAGUCUGAUGUGAAAGCCCCCGGCUCAACCGGGGAAGGUCAUUGGAAACUGGGGAACUUGAGUGCAGAAGAGGAGAGUGGAAUUCCAUGUGUAGCGGUGAAAUGCGUAGAUAUAUGGAGGAACACCAGUGGCGAAGGCGACUUUCUGGUCUGCAACUGACGCUGAUGUGCGAAAGCGUGGGGAUCAAACAGG
RNAcentral lists this ribosomal RNA (253 nucleotides) under uncultured bacterium. RNAcentral's name for it is "partial 16S ribosomal RNA". It matches the Rfam family "Bacterial small subunit ribosomal RNA", at positions 524 to 776 of the family's 1533-position model. The record is from RNAcentral.